UUCCCAGCGGCAAGCUUUCUCUAAAGAACCUGGAGCAAUUUCUUUCUUUUUUUUUUUUUUUUUAAAUCAGGAAUCAUGUCUGAAAGCUGCCACAACCAGUUGUAUAGGCAUGUCAAAAUGACUUUAUACAGUCAAUAUGAAACAAGCAUUAAAUAUUUUUUCUCAUGUUGUUGCUUUUAUCAUUAUGAAUUCCUUGCUUGUUGCCACCUAAGAUACGAUGGAGCAAGCACAGUCUUAAAGAAGAUUUGCUGAUUUUUUGUUUUUCUCAGCAGACCAGAGACAUCCAUAAAAAUUCAUCAGAGAGCAUUUUACUACUGAGCUGCAAAGGGAAAAACUUAAAAUGGAUAUGAAAAGUGAAGAAAGUGAUCAUAGGAGAAAACCAUUUCAGAUGACAAGAGCACCUCAAAGGCAGCAGCCUCAAGGAGCAGCCAUGGCCCCAGACUUGUCGCACGGAUGCAGAAAACUUAAUGGAGGAGGCUGAGGUCAGAAUGGGAAGAGUUUUUAAAAAAUAAAAAGGGGAGCUAAUAUGUGAGGAACUGAUUGCUGUGCAUUAUUUUCCACUGAACAGACCUUCUUUUAACUUCUAAUCUCAAGCACAUAGCAGCUGUUGUUUUCAUAUUAAAGAUCAGUAAGUGUUUGUUGAAUGAAUGUAUAAAUUCUUCCCCAAUCUCUGUUCCAUGUAAUAAGAACUAAGUUAGCAUUCAAUUAUAAAGAGGACUUAGAAAGUCUGCAGACAUUUUUGAUCAAAAAUCCUUUUAACUGUCUUCUUAUGGUUCCCGGUAACACCUAAGCCCAAAAAACUCAGGUCAUUUCUUGCCUGUACUGUUGCAAUAGCCUCAUAAUAACUAGUCUUCUCCUUUAUCAACCACAGUCGUCUCCGCUACACAAAGAAGAGAGGGUGCUAAUCUAAAGUGUAAAUUAUUUUAAAUCAGCACCCUUCUUGUAAUUUCCCAGUGGUUUUUCCUGUCAUAAGAAUAACAUGCAAAAUUCCUUGCUUGCAAAGCCAGGUAUGACCUUGCCCCGUCUACCUUACUGGCAUCGUCUCUCAUGACUCUUCCCCUUUUUCACUCUCCAUCUUGCCUUUUCCCAACCAUGCCUGCUAGUGAGCCUUAGCCCUUGUGUUUUCUCUGCCAGGGAUGCAUGACUGGCUUCUUUACUUUAUUCUGAUCUCUCUGCUCAAAUGUCAUCUUUUUAGAGAUAGCUUUCCUAAACAUCUUUAAAAGUACCCCAUGAACUGUGAAACACCUUUCCUGCUUUUUCUUCAUAGUACUUAUCACUUCCUGAUAUUAUGUUAGACAACAAGCAAAUAAGUAUAUGCUGUUCCCACUAAAAUAUAAGCUCCAUUUGAACAGGAGCCUUGAUUAUUCCUGAGUAUACCCCUAGUGCCCAGAACCUAGUAGGGCUUUAAUAAAUAUUAGAUUCAUUUGUUGAAUGAAAAAAUGAAUGAAUAAUUGAAUAAAGAUAUCCAGGUAGAGUGUCCGGGCAGCCCAACCUAUGUGAAGCCAGUACAAGAAUGUUUCUGUGACAUAGUGAGCGCAAUUAUUCCUCUAAAUGAUGAACUUGCAUGAGUACACAAGGAUAAAAUUAAGCACGUAGUUUAGAUUUCUGCAAGUCUCUUCCUCAGAUUGAGGAAAAACAAAGAAAUUGAGCUUAUUCUCACCUCAUUCUUACAUGAACUAAAUCCAGAAUAAAGCAUCAUUUAAAUACCAAGCACAUCCCUACCUCAGCCACUCAUGGAAUACUUUAUCUGUAAAGGGACAGAUAGAUAGUAAAUAUUUUUGGCUUUGGGGACCGUACAGUCUGUGUCGCCACUACUCAGCACUUCUGUUGAGGUGUGGAAUCAGCCCUAGACAACACAUAAACAAAUGGGUGUGGCUGUGUUCCAAUAAAAUGUUAUUUAUAAAACUAGGAAAUCAGCAGAUUUAGUCCACAGGCUGUAGUUUGCUGACCCUUGAAUUAGAGAGUCUUCCCCAAAUCCUCUUCCCAAGUUAUUGAAAGAAUGCCCAUAGGACCAUAGCUCCCUCACCUGGUUCUUUCAAGAAAUGAGACAAAUUCAGGGAUGGUUGGAGGGUGGAACGCCUACCUGUGACAUGACUAUUGAGCCUGAUUUCUUUCCUUUUAUCUCUUUAAAGUGAGUCAGGUCUUAACUUUAAACUGUCUCUAAAGUGGCAAUAACUGGGCCAUGUCAAAUACUCCCAAUGACAAAAUUUCUUCUUGGAGAAUGAAUGAGGGUUGCAUACAGUGGUGUGUUGGUAAAUGUUUAGCAACUGGCUCUCUUACUGAUUUCUGUAGUGUAAAUUCUCCCAUCCUGGCCAUCUGAAACUACCAAUAUGAUGUCACUUGAUGUAGAGUUGGGAAAAGACAGUCUCUUGAAUAAGUAUGAGCUGGUUCCAGCCCACUGCUGAACACAUAUUUAAAAGCUACAAUAGCUCUGCUCACUGCCAUUGCAGAGUCUGGAGGAAAGAGUAGCAGGCUUGAUAGGAGCAAUUGGCUGAAUAAUCUUUUGCAAUGCCAAUAAAUAAUGAAAAAGUAUAUAAAUAUAACGCUGUAUAGAAAGCUCUCAAGUUCAGUGUUUGGUUAAAAUACAUACUCAGUAAAUGGUAGCUAUUAUUGUCUUAGUUUAAGUUAUUGCAAGCAUUAAAAUUAAAUGUUU
Homo sapiens (human) is the source of this 2653-nucleotide long non-coding RNA. Ensembl annotates it as mir-99a-let-7c cluster host gene. Its record names the gene MIR99AHG. Lineage: Eukaryota; Metazoa; Chordata; Mammalia; Primates; Hominidae. The record is from Ensembl.